Molecule: long non-coding RNA, 609 nt
Filed under: Homo sapiens (human)
Lineage: Eukaryota; Metazoa; Chordata; Mammalia; Primates; Hominidae
Description: HSALNT0077043
Source: RNAcentral
CAGUCAUACAACAAGGCAGCAAGUUACUGUGGAGCUGAAUACUUGGGUCUCAGACAUAUUUCUGCCUACAUUCCCAGGAAAUUUUAUCACCAGUCUUCAAUGUGAAUUGAAUGAGGGACAGCAACUUUUUGGUUACUCAUCAAAGAAUCCCUGCCACCACGGUGAAAUGAUGUGACGACUAAGCUGACAGAUGGAUGUUAAUGAGGAACAUGGUCCAGCUGCUGCAAAUUAGCAAAACUUCCCAGGAAGAGUCCAUCCAGAGGUUCUGCUAUCCUGCUGCCGCGGGACUGCCUGUGGCCGGGAGUCCGGCACUAAAAAGAUUCCAAGGGCCUACAUCCCCAAGAGGCUGUGGCGCAUCUGGACCCAAGCCAUGGUGAGAGUGGCAGUGACUUCAAAGGUCUCCAGGACUCACUAGGCAACACUACCCGACGUUUACAGAUUUUAAAUGCAUCUCAAUCCCACAGGAAAUUUUUUUAAAACGUUAACAUAUUUUCAUACAUGUAUUAAAGGGGACUUUAAAAUGAGAUUGCAUAAAUGAAAAUAUGUAAAUACUAUAUGCUUCAUAGAGAAAUCAAAUGGGAAGUAAGAAGAACUAGAUAUGCAUUAUAU